CCUACGGGAGGCAGCAGUGAGGAAUAUUGGUCAAUGGGCGCAGGCCUGAACCAGCCAAGUCGCGUGAGGGAAGACUGCCCUAUGGGUUGUAAACCUCUUUUAUCAGGGAAGAAUAAUGACUACGUGUAGUCAGAUGCCCGUACCUUAUGAAUAAGCAUCGGCUAACUCCGUGCCAGCAGCCGCGGUACUACGGAGGAUGCGAGCGUUAUCCGGAUUUAUUGGGGUUAAAGGGUGCGUAGGUGGUAUUUUAAGUUAGUGGUAAAACGUCGGGGCUUCACCUUGAUUGGCCGUUAAAACUGGAGUACUAGAGUACAGACGAGGUAGGCGGAAUAAGUGAAGUAGCGGUGAAAUGCUUAGAUAUCACGCAGAACCCCGAUUGCGAAGGCAGCCUUCCGGCGCCCUACUGACGCUGAGGCACGAAAGUGCGGGGAUCGAACAGGAUUAGAUACCCUUGUAGUC
Molecule: ribosomal RNA, 459 nt
Filed under: uncultured bacterium
Lineage: Bacteria
Description: partial 16S ribosomal RNA
Rfam family: Bacterial small subunit ribosomal RNA
Source: RNAcentral